This 75-nucleotide transfer RNA is filed under the name Desulfurobacterium thermolithotrophum. Its description in RNAcentral is "tRNA-Val". It matches the Rfam family "tRNA". Rfam says of the family: Transfer RNA (tRNA) molecules are approximately 80 nucleotides in length. Lineage: Bacteria; Pseudomonadati; Aquificota; Aquificia; Desulfurobacteriales; Desulfurobacteriaceae. RNAcentral also lists the same sequence under 6 other names. The record is from RNAcentral.
AGGGCCGUAGCUCAGUGGGAGAGCGCCACCUUGACGCGGUGGAGGUCAGGGGUUCGAAACCCCUCGGCCCUACCA